This is a non-coding RNA of Camelus ferus (Wild Bactrian camel), 73 nucleotides long. NCBI's taxonomy places the organism in Eukaryota, Metazoa, Chordata, Mammalia, Artiodactyla, Camelidae. The record is from Rfam.
GGAGGGUACAGCUCUGUGGUAGAGCGCAUGCCUAGCACGCACGAGGUCCUGGGUUCAAUCCCCAGCACCUCCA